RNAcentral lists this ribosomal RNA (254 nucleotides) under uncultured bacterium. Its description in RNAcentral is "partial 16S ribosomal RNA". It matches the Rfam family "Bacterial small subunit ribosomal RNA", at positions 524 to 776 of the family's 1533-position model. The record is from RNAcentral.
CACGUAGGGGGCAAGCGUUGUCCGGAUUUAUUGGGCGUAAAGAGCUCGUAGGCGGCUCAGUAAGUCAGGUGUGAAACCUCCAGGCUCAACCUGGAGACGCCACCUGAUACUGCUGUGGCUAGAGUCCGGUAGGGGAGCGUGGAAUUCCUGGUGUAGCGGUGAAAUGCGCAGAUAUCUGGAGGAACACCGGUGGCGAAGGCGGCAUCCUGGACCAACACUGACACUGAGGAGCGAAAGCCAGGGGAGCAAACGGG